AUUGAACGCUGGCGGCAGGCCUAACACAUGCAAGUCGAACGGUAACAGGGAUCAGCUUGCUGAUUCGCUGACGAGUGGCGGACGGGUGAGUAAUGUCUGGGCAACUGCCUGAUGGAGGGGGAUAACUACUGGAAACGGUAGCUAAUACCGCAUAACGUCGCAAGACCAAAGAGGGGGACCUUCGGGCCUCUUGCCAUCGGAUUUGCCCAGAUGGGAUUAGCUGGUAGGUGGGGUAACGGCUCACCUAGGCGACGAUCCCUAGCUGGUCUGAGAGGAUGACCAGCCACACUGGAACUGAGACACGGUCCAGACUCCUACGGGAGGCAGCAGUGGGGAAUAUUGCACAAUGGGCGCAAGCCUGAUGCAGCCAUGCCGCGUGUAGGAAGAAGGCCUUCGGGUUGUAAAGUACUUUCAGCGGGGAGGAAGGGAGUAAAGUUAAUACCUUUGCUCAUUGACGUUACCCGCAGAAGAAGCACCGGCUAACUCCGUG
RNAcentral lists this ribosomal RNA (490 nucleotides) under uncultured bacterium. RNAcentral describes it as "partial 16S ribosomal RNA". It matches the Rfam family "Bacterial small subunit ribosomal RNA", at positions 30 to 507 of the family's 1533-position model. The record is from RNAcentral.